AUUGAACGCUGGCGGCAGGCCUAACACAUGCAAGUCGAGCGGAUGAAGGGAGCUUGCUCCUGGAUUCAGCGGCGGACGGGUGAGUAAUGCCUAGGAAUCUGCCUGGUAGUGGGGGAUAACGUCCGGAAACGGGCGCUAAUACCGCAUAAGUCCUGAGGGAGAAAGUGGGGGAUCUUCGGACCUCACGCUAUCAGAUGAGCCUAGGUCGGAUUAGCUAGUUGGUGGGGUAAAGGCCUACCAAGGCGACGAUCCGUAACUGGUCUGAGAGGAUGAUCAGUCACCCUGGAACUUGGACACCGUCCUUACUCCUACGGGAGGCAGCAGUGGGGAAUGGUGGGCAAUGGUGGAAAGCCUUAUCCAGCCGUGCCGCGUGUGUUGAGGAAGUCUUCGGAUUGGAAAGCACUUUAAGUUGUGGUGAAGGGCAUUAAGUUGAGACCAUGCUUUUUUGACGUUACCGACAGAAGAAGCACCGGCUAACUUCGUG
Molecule: ribosomal RNA, 484 nt
Filed under: uncultured bacterium
Lineage: Bacteria
Description: partial 16S ribosomal RNA
Rfam family: Bacterial small subunit ribosomal RNA
Source: RNAcentral